CACAACUCGAAACCUCUGAUCAUGUUCUGUAGAGUACACCCGCUCAACUGAUCCAAUGCAACCAAUACAGUAUUGGAAGCUUUCUACGAACAAGGCACCCAGAGAGGGCUCGGAGGAAGAUGACAGUGCCAACGGGCACAGGGAGAAUCGUGAGCUUACUGCACCUUCCCAGCAGGCAGAGUGAGCCCGUAGGACAAGAGCCCCCUUUCUCCGUUUCCCAUCUGCCCUGCAGCCCCGAGGAACGGUCCAUUCUACAGACAAGAGGCCUGACGCUCAGAAGCAAAGCAACUUGCCACAAUCGCAUCACCGUGUGUGUCUACUUCUGCCGGGCUCUCGCCCUCCCUCCUCACUCUGCAUGGUGCACACACCCUUAGUGGCUGUGCAUUUUCAGCUUGCUUCCUUCUUUUCUCUAAAAAUCUCCGCUUUGCUCUCCCUUUAUUUCGCCUUUCACGCACUGAGCAGCGAUUCGUUUCCUAUUCCACAUCGCCACCUGGCGGCCAUGGAGAGAGAACACCGCGCGUUUUUUAUCAAGCGGGCAAAGGCAGGGGAAUCCUCACGCCAAACGGGUUUGAAGACCUCUUCACACGGACGGCCAGGUCUCUACGGGACUCGCCCUUACACUAACUCCACUACAGCCCGCUCUGUCGGUGGAGGAAAUAGACGUGGAAGGCUUCCCUUCAUCACCUGGUGGCUGCCGGGCCACAUCCUGUACAAGCCGGGGCCAGCUCUAAGUCUACCCCAAAGCCUCAGCGUGCCUCUUCCCUCUAACUCAGGCGAAAGUACCUUCAAGACAGUCCUGGACGCGGUGGCUUCACGCCUGUAAUACCAGCACUUUGGGAGGCCAAGGCAAGAGGAUCACUGGAUCACUUGAGCCCAGAAGUUUGAGACUAGCCUGGACAACAUAGUGAAACCCCUGUCUUUACAAAAAUUGAUUAAUUAAUUAAUUGUUUAAAAGAGACUAUUCCUCAUUCUUUUGACAUCAUUUUAAAUGAGAAUGCAGAAUAUGACAUUGUACAUACUGAUAUUUGAUUCCUUUUAUAUAACCUUUCAUGUAUUAAAAAACUGCACUGAAAAUCUAGAAUUAAGUUAAAAUUGGUGUGGGUUAUUUGUGAAUGGUGGGAUUUUUUAAAUGUAUUCCAACACCCAUAUAUUCCAACUUUUCCACACUUCCAAAGUCUGGAAUACUUUGAGGAUGGGGAGGAAAGAUAUGUUUACGGUCCUUGGGAAACUGAAAAGCAUUUCCUGUGAUGUCCCAGGGAGCUGGGGCACAGGAGCCAGCCUUGAAGUGGAAACCCCAGGCCAUCCACUCACAAUCUGAGUAUCCUUGGGUGAGUGAUCUCUCUAACCUCCCAUCGAGUCCCCUGUAAACUAGAAAUAAUUAUAGCUGCCCACAUCACUGUCUUACUAUAAGAGUAAAAUGAGAUAAUGUAUUUUAAAACAUUGGUAUAGUGUGAGUAUUCAAUAAAUAUUCUUUGAGUGAAUUUAGUGCAUUGUUUUGUUUUGUUUUUUUGAGAUGGA
This 1518-nucleotide long non-coding RNA is filed under the name Homo sapiens (human). RNAcentral describes it as "non-protein coding lnc-STC2-1:2". The record is from RNAcentral. Lineage: Eukaryota; Metazoa; Chordata; Mammalia; Primates; Hominidae.